AGUGUGAUAGGGGAAUCCCUAGUGCUCAUACUAUGUAUGGGCUUUUGCCAAAGGUAAAUUCUUUGGCGAAUAAGUGAUGGGCAAGACCGGUGCCAGCAGCCGCGGUAAUACCGGCGUCACGAGUGGCAAUCGCGAUUAUUGGGUCUAAAGUGUUCGUAGCCGGUUUAGUAAAUCUUUUGUGAAAUUGUCAGGCUUAACUUGACAACGUGCAGGAGACACUGCUAAACUAGGGACCAGGAGGGGUCAGAAGUAUUUCAGGGGGAGCGGUAAAAUGUUAUAAUCCCUGAAGGACUACCAAUGGCGAAGGCAUCUGACCAGAAUGGAUCUGACGGUGAGGAACGAAGGCCAGGGGAGCGAACCGGAUUAGAUACCCGAGUAGUCCUGGCAGUAAACGCUGUGAGCUAGGUGUUGCAUAUUCUCCGUGAAUAUGCAGUGUCGAAAGGAAGCUGUUAAGCUCACCACCUG
RNAcentral lists this ribosomal RNA (465 nucleotides) under uncultured archaeon. Its description in RNAcentral is "bacterial SSU rRNA". It matches the Rfam family "Archaeal small subunit ribosomal RNA", at positions 364 to 830 of the family's 1478-position model. The record is from RNAcentral.